RNAcentral lists this long non-coding RNA (844 nucleotides) under Monodelphis domestica (gray short-tailed opossum). RNAcentral's name for it is "lncRNA (ENSMODG00000038277.1)". Lineage: Eukaryota; Metazoa; Chordata; Mammalia; Didelphimorphia; Didelphidae. The record is from RNAcentral.
CGCAAGGGCAACCAGGUCCUGUGAACUCGACUUCCUCCCUCGUCUCCACCAUUGCGCAGGCGCAAAUUAUCACAUUCAGCCCUUCCCACCGCUUCCCGCCCUUCUUUGAAACUUCUGGCGUCCUGUUGUGGGCGGAAAAAACGCCUCUAUCUCUCUGCGCAGGCGCAGCCUGUCCGGAGCCAAUGAAUGAGUACAGAGAAACAAGAAAAUUAUAUGAACUGAUGGAAAGUAAAUUGAACCAAGAAAACAAGAUACAUGAUUACAAGAAUGUACAAGUAACGAACAACAAAAAGGUCCUAGGUUGAAGGCUGUGAAAGUAUAAUGAUCUGAGAAGAGAUCCCAGCUGGUUUCAAGAAGGAGCUGUUAAUUCUCUGCAAGUUUUGGAUGGCAACAAUAUGAACAGGUGAGCUAGUUUCCAUCUCCCAGUCCCUUCCUCUAAUACUGCCUCCAACUUCUUACAAGCGACCAUGAUUUCAAGAGAGAAGGACAAGGCAGGUUCUCUGAACAGCUAUUUGAAGGCAGUGACACCUCUGAGACAGCCUUUCAUUUUAGGUAGUGUGUUGGUGGUGGUGUUAAGGAAAUAAUAGGAGUAGGAGGCAGGAGAGGACUCCUUGAGGUCAGAAAAAAAAGAUGGAGAGUUUUUAUGGCCCACUUACAAGUCUCACACUGGACCAAAUGUGCACUACUAUUUCGUUAUAUUAAAGAAAGAUAACUACCUUUGAGGAGAUGGAAGUUUACUCAGAGAGGAUUUAGCACUCUCCAAAUCCAUACUCAAGAUGACAGCACUGAUGGAUUUUCUCACUUAAAAACAUAACAGACAUCACCAAUGUGACUGAACACUCAA